This is a long non-coding RNA of Hordeum vulgare subsp. vulgare (domesticated barley), 281 nucleotides long. RefSeq lists it as uncharacterized. The transcript has 3 exons. NCBI's taxonomy places the organism in Eukaryota, Viridiplantae, Streptophyta, Magnoliopsida, Poales, Poaceae. The record is from RefSeq and is a predicted model, not a curated record.
GUGUUUCCUUUAAAAUUGGCUCAAAUUAUGAUAUUACCUACAGAAGGGCACAAUGAUGAAUUCAACGCAAGAUCCUGCUGGUAGGAGACUACAACGACAACUUGGGAUGCGUCAGGUGAUGUGCACAUGCUUCAAAGGAAAGAGAUGAUGCACAUUACUCCUUUCUGCAAGGUGCCUAUGAAGAGGAUUGGCAAAUAAAAUAGUAAUCCAAACUUGCAAAAUACUCUUUUACAAAGAUCUAGUCUUAAUAAGACUCUAGGUGCAAGACCAUUUGCUAUUUA